Long non-coding RNA from Hylaeus volcanicus, 337 nucleotides. RefSeq lists it as uncharacterized. Lineage: Eukaryota; Metazoa; Arthropoda; Insecta; Hymenoptera; Colletidae. The record is from RefSeq and is a predicted model, not a curated record. The transcript is spliced from 3 exons.
AUGGUUCCAACUGGAACUAAACCAGGAGGCCGAUGAUCGAUCCAUCUCUCUGCACUUUGAGACCGCCUGUAUCGCAGAUUUACUACUGGAAUUCUUUCCUAAAAGUUAUAAAAGAUAGAAUAAUUUGUUGCAGAAUAUAAUGUAGAUGCAGACUUCGCACUUAUUUUUGGAGUAACUGUCAUACAAGACAUAGUUUCUGAGGAACAGCUUGGACUACUUGCAACUUUGGAUGAGUUUGUCCUCUUUCUCCUUCAUUUGGCACUAAACAAAUAUUAAACAUCAAACAGCCAUAUAAAAUGUAUGCGAAUAUAAUUAAAUACCUGAAGAAGUUCACGUU